AAUGCAAAGCCAUAAACAAAUGCAGCAGAGCUUCAUCGCAUUACAAUCAGCGCAGCCAUUUUCACCGUGGCAGGGCAAACGCACCGUACCAGCAUCAAUACACAGGCCAGGAUGAGCAGCCAGCCCGAGAAAACUCC
Labeo rohita (rohu) is the source of this 137-nucleotide long non-coding RNA. RefSeq lists it as uncharacterized. NCBI's taxonomy places the organism in Eukaryota, Metazoa, Chordata, Actinopteri, Cypriniformes, Cyprinidae. The record is from RefSeq and is a predicted model, not a curated record. The transcript has 2 exons.